RNAcentral lists this ribosomal RNA (1153 nucleotides) under Bacillus safensis. Its description in RNAcentral is "bacterial SSU rRNA". It matches the Rfam family "Bacterial small subunit ribosomal RNA", at positions 43 to 1193 of the family's 1533-position model. The record is from RNAcentral. Lineage: Bacteria; Bacillati; Bacillota; Bacilli; Caryophanales; Bacillaceae.
CGCGGACUAUACAUGCAGUCGAGCGGACAGAAGGGAGCUUGCUCCCGGAUGUUAGCGGCGGACGGUGAGUAACACGUGGGUAACCUGCCUGUAAGACUGGGAUAACUCCGGGAAACCGGAGCUAAUACCGGAUAGUUCCUUGAACCGCAUGGUUCAAGGAUGAAAGACGGUUUCGGCUGUCACUUACAGAUGGACCCGCGGCGCAUUAGCUAGUUGGUGGGGUAAUGGCUCACCAAGGCGACGAUGCGUAGCCGACCUGAGAGGGUGAUCGGCCACACUGGGACUGAGACACGGCCCAGACUCCUACGGGAGGCAGCAGUAGGGAAUCUUCCGCAAUGGACGAAAGUCUGACGGAGCAACGCCGCGUGAGUGAUGAAGGUUUUCGGAUCGUAAAGCUCUGUUGUUAGGGAAGAACAAGUGCGAGAGUAACUGCUCGCACCUUGACGGUACCUAACCAGAAAGCCACGGCUAACUACGUGCCAGCAGCCGCGGUAAUACGUAGGUGGCAAGCGUUGUCCGGAAUUAUUGGGCGUAAAGGGCUCGCAGGCGGUUUCUUAAGUCUGAUGUGAAAGCCCCCGGCUCAACCGGGGAGGGUCAUUGGAAACUGGGAAACUUGAGUGCAGAAGAGGAGAGUGGAAUUCCACGUGUAGCGGUGAAAUGCGUAGAGAUGUGGAGGAACACCAGUGGCGAAGGCGACUCUCUGGUCUGUAACUGACGCUGAGGAGCGAAAGCGUGGGGAGCGAACAGGAUUAGAUACCCUGGUAGUCCACGCCGUAAACGAUGAGUGCUAAGUGUUAGGGGGUUUCCGCCCCUUAGUGCUGCAGCUAACGCAUUAAGCACUCCGCCUGGGGAGUACGGUCGCAAGACUGAAACUCAAAGGAAUUGACGGGGGCCCGCACAAGCGGUGGAGCAUGUGGUUUAAUUCGAAGCAACGCGAAGAACCUUACCAGGUCUUGACAUCCUCUGACAACCCUAGAGAUAGGGCUUUCCCUUCGGGGACAGAGUGACAGGUGGUGCAUGGUUGUCGUCAGCUCGUGUCGUGAGAUGUUGGGUAGUCCCGCACGAGCGCACCGUGAUCUAGUGCCAGCAUUCAGUUGUCACUCUACGUGACUGCUGUACAACCGGAAGAGGGUGGGGCAUGACGUCAAAUCAU